RNAcentral lists this long non-coding RNA (1961 nucleotides) under Eucalyptus grandis. RNAcentral describes it as "long non-coding RNA (EGRA_LNC001017)". Lineage: Eukaryota; Viridiplantae; Streptophyta; Magnoliopsida; Myrtales; Myrtaceae. The record is from RNAcentral.
GAAAUUCACCAGAGUUCCAAGCCGCAUCAACAUUUAGUUUCAAGUACGGCUUCGUCAGGGGAACCCAUCGAGCAGGUGAGUCCCGGUGAUAUUGCUCUGAAAUUUUUUUCCCCUUGUUGCGACUAACCGAAUCGAGUUGUUUUUGUGUCGUGGUGCUCAGAUCUGCCGGGGGAAUCCAUCGAGCAGGUGAAUCCCAGUGAUGUGGCUCUGAAAUUGUUUUCCCCUUGCUGCGACUAACCGGAGCGAGUUGUUCAUGUGCCUUGGUGUUCAAAUCUACUGGCUUCGUUGGGGAAAUCCCUCUAAUAGAUGAGUCCCAGUGAUGUUGCUUUGAAAUUUUUUUCCCCUUACUGCGACUAACCGGAACGAAUUGCUCCUUUGCCGUGGUGAUUAGAUCUGCUGGUUGUGGGUUUAUUCCGCGGAAGAUCCAGUGGUUUCUCGCCCUCCAUAUGUUCCAAAGAAGCAGGGUCGUCAUUUCUCGAGCUAGUAAAGAGGUUUUACCUCGAAACGCUUCCGUGAGCCACAGAUUUGAGCGUUGAAUGUGUUUAGUUGGCCGAAUCUCUGCAUAUCUCGAAUCUUGCCAUCCAUUGACACAAGAAGAACAAAUGCUCUGUUGUUUCGAUGUUGUUGUGACAAAAUGGGUCUUGAACGAUCUUUCUUUGGUGCAGAUUUUCUCUGGUUGGGAGAGCAUUUUGACACAAGCUCCAGAGGAACGUUUGGAUUUUAGGAAAGACAUCAAGGCUCCAGAUUUUAUUCCACAAGGUGCGUGGCUGUUGGUAGGAACUAGAGGGUUUCUGGAGCUCUGUUUUAGUAGCUUGUUGAGUUGCAAUAUUGUAGCCACUUUUAACAGAGUACUGUCCCGUUUUGGUGCCUGUCCAGAGUAACAUAUCUGGCUGGGGUUGUUGACUCAGAGGAAUCGCUAAGAUUUCAUUUGCUAUGCUUGGUUCAUAAAGCUGUUGAAUUACCUGCUGCUUCCAUUCACGUGUUUCUGUGUUAAUUAGUUUUGACACCUAAAAGGGUUCUAUUUGGGAUGCUUGGUUUCUCUGCCAAUCAUGAGUCCCUGCCAUCCCCAAGAUGAUCUGCGGCCCUUAGCUGCUGUCCACACAUCGCCAUGAGGAAAAUAAAUUCCUUUAAGGAGGCGACUCCAGAGUGCUGUUGGGGAAGUGGCCAAUCUCCAGAGUUGCUUUUCAAGCAUAGCUCUGAAGGUAAGCAAAUCCUUUAAUCCCAGCCCACCAUUAUUUUUUCUAGUUUUUAAUAUUUCCCAUCGUUUCCAAUGCAAUCCCCUUUUGGCAUCUCCUUUUUGCCACCAAAAUGACGCUGUUGGUUUCUCUAUGGCUUUGUAGAUAGAAACAGGGAUCUUGAAUAUAGACAUCGCAUAGGUAGGAAUGGACUGCACUACGCUUUUUAUCAAGACCUCCUUUCCUGCCUUGGUAAGCAAUUUCUCUUUCCAGCCUUCUUAUUUAGAGUUCACUUUGGCUAGAAUCCAGCUAAACAAUUCUCGCUUAGAGUUGCCCACUCUGUAGGAAUACCCAAAUAUCUACCUGUUUUCUCCAAUACAUUUACUCUCAUCUCUGUGGCCAUAUUCAUUUUUAAAUGAUCUGGACACUGUGCACUGAAGUAGAUCCCUGAUUUAUUUAAAUUAAUGGCUUGCCCUGUAGCAUUUUCCUAGUUCACUGCAUCAAAUUGAAUGCCUUUCCUCGUUUUGUUGAUGCUAUUCGUCUUCCAAAUAUGUCAUGUAAAUCUUACUCCUGUUUUCGGCAUCAUGGAGAGGCUCAUAUUGCCAAAGUUCCCACAAUUUCCAGGAAUCGUUAUAUCUGUGUGCAUAUCGUCACAUUGAGAAUAAAAAGUGAUAGAAUGGAAUGAACAUUAGCAUAUAUAUCAAUGAAUAUGGCAAUAGAUCUUGUGAUUGUUCUCAUUAACUCAUUAUUCGGAGCAGAAGUUCUUGUUCUCCUCAAGGAUCUGUG